RNAcentral lists this unclassified non-coding RNA (293 nucleotides) under Hevea brasiliensis (rubber tree). Lineage: Eukaryota; Viridiplantae; Streptophyta; Magnoliopsida; Malpighiales; Euphorbiaceae. The record is from RNAcentral.
AAGAAAUACUUCAACGACAUGCUUGCUCGUAACAUUGAACCAUCACAGAUGCACUACGCUUGCAUGGUUGAUCUUCUUGGUCGUUCUGGGCUAAUGGAUGAGGCCAUUAAUGUUAUCACUGGUCUACCAUUUGAACCAGAUUUCAAUGUUUGGGCUGCGCUCCUUGGAGCAUGCCGUCUCAAUGGAAAUGUGGAGUUGGGUUCUUGGGCAGCUGAGCACUUAUUUAAGAUGCAGCCGCAUCAUCCUGGAUACUAUGCUCUUCUCUCAAAUAUGUACGCUGAAGCAGGGCGGCG